Long non-coding RNA from Myotis myotis, 741 nucleotides. RefSeq lists it as uncharacterized. The transcript is spliced from 5 exons. Lineage: Eukaryota; Metazoa; Chordata; Mammalia; Chiroptera; Vespertilionidae. The record is from RefSeq and is a predicted model, not a curated record.
ACAAGCAUCGAGAAUAAUUGUGUUUUUUUUAAAAAAAGAGAAAGUUUAGAGAAAAAAAGUUUUCCCAACUUCUCAUUCCGCCUUCAGUUCCAGACUUCAGAGUCACCGUGAUCAGACAUGACCUUUGUGUUGAUUUCUUCCAUAGCACCUGGAAAACAGCUGCUGUUUCCUUUGCUGCCUGAGCUGUUUGGCCACGUCUGAACUGCUGCUGAUGAAGCCUUUUCUGGCAGGUUGCCCGGGAGCAGCUCUCCUAUAGAUUCCGCCCCUCUCCAGGAGUUGCCUGCCUUCAGGAUAAUGGGCAACAUUGAAAGCUGCAAGGCGUUUGGUUGACAAGGUUCUCGGUACUUCUUUGUUCUAAAACUGCCCUUUCAAGUUUAGAGUAACUGCAUCCUCCAAGUCCAAGCUGACAAUCUACAUACAUCUCUUUACCUGCUGGGUGGAAGACCCCUGUACCCAGAGAUGUAUAAUCGCACGCUGUCACAGAAUUACAUAAGAAGAAAAUGCCUGUUUCUGAGCCUGGAAUCACCUUCCUCUUCCUUGAAAUCACACUAUACAUCUGUAAAAUGGUAAAUUGGGGGAACCUGAGUGACAGUUAUCAGAGUCUUUGUAAUUGUCUCUCAACUUUCUGUAAUCCUGAAAUUAUGUUACCAUGAAUCAUUUUAAAAAAAUCUGAACUAGCUUGAAACUCGUUUUUUAAAAUUGCAUUUGUUGGGGCGACAUUGAUUAAUAAAAUUAUAUAGG